GAUUUAGAGUUAAGGGGUGGGGUUUAGGAUUUAGGGUUUAGAGGUGGAGUUUAGGGUUUAGGGUUUAGAGUUAAGGGGUGGAGUUUAGGAUUUAGGGUUUAGAGUUUAGAAUUUAGGGUUUAGAGUUUAGGGGUGGGAUUUAGAGUUUAGGGUUUAGAGUUAAGGGGUGGAGUUUAGGAUUUAGGGUUUAGGGUUUAGGAUUUAGGGUUUAGAGUUUAGGGUUUAGAGUUUAGGUUUUAGAGUUUACGUUUUAGGAUUUAGAAUUGGGAAGUGGGGUUUUGGGAUAAGAUUUCAAAUUUUGAAAAAUAAAAAAAUUUAAAUUUUUCAAAAGAUAAAAUGCUAUUUUGGUCAUUUUAGUUCAUGAAAACUAUUUUUGUGACAUAAAUUUAGAAAUGUGUUAUUUCGGAGAUUUGUCCAAAUAUCUUUCACACACAGUUUCGAUCAGUGUGAAAUUCUAAAGUUUCUUCUGGAUAAUAAUUGAUUAACAUUUUUCAUCAGCCUUCUGUGACUAUUCGUCAAUAAAACUGUUCAUUUUUAUUUUUUUAUGAGAAGUAUAAACAUGUUUGUUUUUUUUUUUUUUUUUUUUUGUCUUUAUGUAAGUCAAAACUAUUAACGAACUCCAUGAUGUUUGACUGAACAAAUACAAAGAAAAAUAGAUUUCUACAACUGGGUCUUGACAGUAAAAUAUGACAUUUCCAUAAACGGACAUAAAUAAAUACAUAACCAUGAGUAUUAACCUCUAUAAAAAUACUGUUGAUUGACCGUCAUCAAUACAUAUGAAACGAAUCUUUUUACUAACACCGUCUUCUUCUUCGUUUAUGACUGUUUAUUAAUUUCCUAUUAUUAUUUAAAUAUUUUUAAUUUUUGGGGUUAAAAAAAACAUGAUUUAUCGAUUCCUCCACAGCUCCACAUCUUACACAACAUAUAUCUCCUUUAAUCCCCCUUGCUUGUAAAUUCUUCCGCACUGCAAUGCAUCCUGUCAUUAAUUGCCAUAGAAAAUGUUUUAAUUUCGGUGGGCACCGUAUUUUCCAGCAGUGAGCCUUUAAAACAUCCACUGUAGGACCAAUCAGUAACGGUGGUCUAUCUCUAUCUGGGUAGAUACGUUCUACCUGAUAUCCUGAUUUAACCGAAAAUUUUCCAUUUUUUGUAAAGUGCCAUCCAUCUCUAUCUACCCGUUGAGUCCUGCCCAGUGGUAUACUUUCUAUAAGUUUUGCAUCCUGAGGAUCCACCAACGCACGAAUUACCUCUAAAUUCCAAGUACGCGAUGUAGAAUCAAUGAGGGAUUCUACAGUAAGUUCCGGAUAUAAAUUGUGUUGAUUUUUAUUAGCUGGUCUCGGGCGAGUGGUUGGGGGCAAAUGGGAAGACAACUUAUUAAAUGUUGCUUUAAAUUUUAUUGGACCACAUAAUUUGGUGGCCAAUUGUACUCCACGCAUAAUUUUCUUGGCUACUCUUUUCUUUUCUCUUUUUCUCCACAAAUAAUGGAAAAACAAAAGUUGCUUCAUCAGUCAACGUAAAAGUUGCUUCAUCAGGCAACUUAUAAAAGUUUUAUUUUAAAAACAUAAGAGCAUGAUUCACGGAGAUUCUUAUGGUGGAGUUAUUAGCGGAAUAUAAAAAAUUGUCUCUUAGUUUUUAACUAAAAAAAUAAAGAAUUAAUUCUUAAAUAGAGACUCGUUCAUAGAUAGUUCUCAAUAUCAAGGAAACUUAAAAUAGUUAUCAAAAAUAAAUAGUUCUCAACAUCAAAGCAGCUACACUCACGUAGCGAAACUUUAUGAUCAAUAUAUAGAAGUACGAUAUGUAAGAUGUCAUAAUUAUGCACAUGCAAGAAUGACUCAUCUUAUAUAUUAAAACAAAAGUCACAAUUUCGAUUCAUGCGUGAUUUUUUUUAAAAAAAAGGACCUAAUGGACAUAUUCUUAGAAAGUCAUGUUACGUUUAAUCUCUAAUCUUAUCAUUUAAAUUUUGGACUUGCCAUAAAUUUUUAUUGGGCUAUCAAUAAUUAAAUUUAAACAAUAGAUGAUUCAUUGGAUUUAUAUAUAGUAUAAAUUAAAUAUAUCUAAUUUAAUGUUGUAAUACUAUACCUCCAUAUGUUAAUUAUUUAAAUACUAGGUAGUGACCCGUGCUCUGCACGGGAUGAGAUGGUUAUUAAAAUGUGUAAAUUACAUGAUUUAGAUUAUGUAUAUCAUAAUGCAUUUGGAUGUAUUACCAUAUUUCAGAAUAAUUAAGAGGUUGAUUGUUCACCGUUUUUUAAAUAGUUUAUGGUUUUUUAUUUUAUAAAAGCUAUUUUUUUUACCAAUAGAGAUUUUUUUCAAAAUAGAUUCUCCCGAAUUUAGAGAAUCCCAUUUAAAAUAACAAUCUACUUCUUAACAAAAACUAAAAACUAUGUUUUCUUGGUUUUCUUUGGCAAUAGUACGCAGACUUUUCUUUGAUAAAAAAAGUACGUGACUUUUCUAAAAUUUAUGAAAGAACAAACUCGAUAUCUAUUAGAGACAACUACAUUUUCUGGUUCUUCUAAACAUAGCUAUUGCCAGAACACUCAUUUUCAAUUAAUUCAACACCCCUUACGCUAACCAAAACUACAUAGACAUCUUACCCAAAUUACCAAAACAUUUCAACAUCAGUAGAUUAAUAAAACAUAAUAACACAUUUUCACUGAAUCAUGUUCGUAUUUCGCUUUAUGUAUAGAAACAUAAAACACUCCCUUAACAUACCAGUUGGCCCGAUCGGUUUUCUUAGUGAUGUGAUUUUAGGAUGUUGGUUCUUUUUUGCUUGAGAUAGUUGUGAUUUCUGUCGUAUAUAUAUAGUACUAAGCGGACAAAGAUUUGCGUUAUAUUAGCCAAUAUACGCAAUUUUAAUUUAGGAGGGUUUUCGGUAAUCAUUUGAUAAUUAGACAUAACAAAUUAGGAAACUAUAUGGGGUUUGUUUUCAAUACAUUGCCAAAAUUUUGUUUGCAACUAAUAAUAUCCCGUUUAUUAAGAGAAUCGAUGCUAUAUUUCUCUUAUAAUUUGAAUCAAUUUGAAAUCUCAGUCAAUAUACCAUGUAAUUACAUAUUACCUUCUGAUUGUCCAUAUUCACGCAAUUGAAGUUAUGGAAACUCGACGCUAAUGUCGUAUUUCUUGGUGCGUACACUACGUUGAAGGCAAUUAUUAAGAAAAUUGGCAUUUUAGGAAAUCAUUAGUGGGUUUCAUUUUUUAUAUUGCAUUGUGUCUUUUUAUUCUUUUAAACAAUCCUUUAUGUAGCAUCGUUUAGAAUAAUCUUGAAAUGUGAACAAUGUGUUCAUAUAUUUGAAAAUGGUUCGUUCGAAUGCAAAGCACCAUUUUAAUAAAAAUGUGUUAAUUUUUCCUCUAAUAUGCAAAAUCAUAAAUAUGAAUAUAAUAAGUGUAUGUUUCCAAACCAUUUGAAACUGGAUGUGUCUUUUGUAUCAAUAAAAGAGAAGUCUAGAUUUUUCUAACACAAUAGUACGACAACCUCACUUUAAUAUUCUUUUUAUUGUAUUUGACAGGUUAUAAAUGACGUAUUCUAUAAUAGGCUUCCGAAUGCAAAUCAUAUUUAUAUGAAUAUGAAUGCUUUAAAUAUAGGUUGUACCAAUUUCACUAAUUGUAAUUAUUCUAGUUAAGAAAGGAUAGUUAGGCAAGUAGGUUGAGGUUGAUUGAGAGAGUGACCCAUCAUCAUAAAGGCAGUGGUGUAAAUAAAGUAUCAAAUUAAGGUUAGUUUUUCAAAUUGCUUCCCUAUUAAUAAGUAAGGGAUAUACUGAAAAAUAUAUUUUGAGAUUGAACAUAUAUAUGCGCGCGCGCGCGCACAUAUAUAUAUAUAUAUAUAUAUAUAAACAUGAAAUGAGAUUGUAAAAUGAAAUUUUUUUUUAAACUAUAUAUUUUUUUUUAAAAAUCAAACAAAACUAAAUGUUUAAUUAUUUACUCGAUAAUAGAAAUCUAUGAAGCGAAAAGUUUAAUUUUUAAAAAAAAUUUUAAAUUUGUAAAAUGUUACAAUAUUUUUGAAUAUGACAAUAAAACAAUAUUUUACUAAUCUUUAUAUAUAUAGUUACGAUUUUAAUAAUGAAAAAAUAAUCCAAAAAUAUAUAUAUAUAGAAGAAGAUACAAAUACAUGUAAAAGUUUGAAGCAAUCUAUUCAAUGAAGAAAAUAUACCGUAAACUUAUUAUGUUUUAAAAAUUGAUAGACACAUAUAUAUUAUAAUAUAUACCAAUUUAGAAUUGAAAACAAAAUGUUUAUAUAAAAAUAAAUGAAAACAAAAACUCGCGGCUGCGCGGAUCGAGAUCUAGUUUGCAUUAAAAAGAAAAGGAAAACAGAAGGAAUAGUGAGUUCCUGGUAUAAUUAUUUUUAGCCGCACAAUUUAAGUACUUAGAGCAUUUUAAUCCAUACCAAAAUUUCUAUAAUUUCCAAACGAAGAAUAAUAAUAUUUUGAUAUAAAUUAAAUAUAUAAUUAAACUUUACUUUUGACAUAAGAAUCGAACUAAUAGAAAUUGUCAAUUGUUUUAUGGUGUCAUGUGAGUUUUUAAGAUUAAGUUCUCACCAAAGAAUUUCCUCUCACUCUUUUUUUGUUUUUUUUUUUCCUUUUUAGUGUUGAACAACUCUUUGAAGAUCCUUUAAAAUAAAUGUUAAUACAAUUUAUAAAAGAACAAUAUAAUUUAUUCAUAUAUGUAGAUUUUACAUAAUUUGAUCAUUUAAUGGAAGAAGGAAGGAAAAUUGCCAAAAAUACUAUUUUCAAAGUACCAAUUUUUAUAUUUACACUAAUCAAUUUUACUUUCAUCUUUAAUGAAAGACUAGGUGACCAGUCCGCACCCUGUGCGGGCAUAAGAAAAUUCAAAAUAUGGACUAAAUCUUAUAUGAUUUUAUAAGUAACGGAUUUUAUACUAUGUUAACAACCGUCUUUGGGAGAAUUCAUCAGGCGUGGAAAAAAGAUCGCACACCAAUUUGAGAUGGACGAGAGGAAACAAAGUAACUUCAAUAUGAAGAGGCAGAUAUUGUGUGUACCGUGUACGUAUAAUUGCAACGUCCAUAUUUUCUUUGUAUGUUUACGAAGAAACUUUCAUUCAAAAUAUGGAAUAAAUAUUGCAUAGUUUUAGAAAAUUCAGAUUUUAUAUUAUCAUUAAUUAGAAAUGUAUUGUAUAUCUGUCGUUAAAAUCUAUGAUGGAGAAUAAAAUAUUUUGUUUCCAUUAAUAAUAAAAUAAACUUUUGUGUAGACAUAGUAAAAGAAAAUAUAUUAAAAAAAUCGAAAAAUUAUCCAUAAAAAUAUAAAUUAUGAAGUACAAUUGUCGAAAAAUAAUGCAAAAUAAUUUAGAAACCUGCAAAAAAAUAAAUAACUAUUGUAAGUAAUUUGUCGGAUGAACAUUAUUUUACAGAUUUAUAAGUAAGAAAAUAAAAGUUAACAUGAAAUAAUAUUAAAGUAGACAUACUUUCAUCGAAAUAGUCAGAAAACGGGAUGCUCCUGAAUACAAUUAGUUCCUAACCCAUCACUACCCAUAUGGAAAAUACAAAAAGUAAAUAAUUGUAACAGACUAUAUACUUUAAAUUUCGUAUUUGAAAAGAAAGUAGAUUAAAAUUACAUACCGUGACUAUGCGAAGACACAUGAUAGGAGCACCAACCUUGAGCUUCAAGCAAUGUCUAGGCAGUCCAGCCACUUUAACACUGUUCAAAAACUCUGCAGGAUAUACGACAUUUUCUUCUAUGUCAACAUCGGAUGGGAUAAUACUGUCAGAGCUAAGGUAAACCUUCUCUUCUCCUGAAAGCAUAUGUAAAUCCGUUUGUUUAGUGAUAUGUACAAAGUUAGUUGAACAUAAGAAUAAAUGAUAAAACAUGUUACCUGGCAACUGCGAAAGCAUGUAGUCAUUUAUUUUAUCCACUUCAUCAUUUGUGGGAGUAAGAAUGGCUCGAUGUCUAUACAAAUCCUUAUCUGUUGAAGUUUGAAAAGCUUGUCCAUAAACCUCUUUUGCCAUAGUCUCAAUAGGAUCUUCUCCACUAUUUNNNNNNNNNNNNNNNNNNNNNNNNNNNNNNNNNNNNNNNNNNNNNNNNNNNNNNNNNNNNNNNNNNNNNNNNNNNNNNNNNNNNNNNNNNNNNNNNNNNNNNNNNNNNNNNNNNNNNNNNNNNNNNNNNNNNNNNNNNNNNNNNNNNNNNNNNNNNNNNNNNNNNNNNNNNNNNNNNNNNNNNNNNNNNNNNNNNNNNNNNNNNNNNNNNNNNNNNNNNNNNNNNNNNNNNNNNNNNNNNNNNNNNNNNNNNNNNNNNNNNNNNNNNNNNNNNNNNNNNNNNNNNNNNNNNNNNNNNNNNNNNNNNNNNNNNNNNNNNNNNNNNNNNNNNNNNNNNNNNNNNNNNNNNNNNNNNNNNNNNNNNNNNNNNNNNNNNNNNNNNNNNNNNNNNNNNNNNNNNNNNNNNNNNNNNNNNNNNNNNNNNNNNNNNNNNNNNNNNNNNNNNNNNNNNNNNNNNNNNNNNNNNNNNNNNNNNNNNNNNNNNNNNNNNNNNNNNNNNNNNNNNNNNNNNNNNNNNNNNNNNNNNNNNNNNNNNNNNNNNNNNNNNNNNNNNNNNNNNNNNNNNNNNNNNNNNNNNNNAAAUCUUAAACAAAACCAAAGACAAAGAUACUCAGACAAAGUUUUAAAAAAUGAAGCAAAAACAAAGCCAUAACACUAUAAAGGACAGCAACUCAUCAAAAAGAGACAGCUCACUCGCCCUUGAGUUUCUUUUGAGAGAGUUUCUUGUUAACAGAGUGUUGAUCCUCAAGGCAACUGUCGUCAUCUUGUUCGCUUUUUCUUUUGGACAAAGGAGUUGCUGUAAAACCACCAGAACCAGAGGAAAUAUCAUCUGCGGACUCCAACAUUAGUACCUGCAAGAAAAGAUUUAAUCGUAUCACUAUUAUGCUCCUAUAACAAUCAAAUUAAUCGCAGGUAUAAGCGGAAAAUUACCGGGUUAGAUUUAGGAGGCAAAUCAGCAAAUUCCUCAACCAUUUCACGGUCAUCAGUAGCCAAUCGAACAACAUACUGAGAACUCUUUCCUUUGAUGUUAUCAGCGUCAACUGAAAUCUCAAAAAGGACUCUCUUACCAAAGAGAUCGCUCACUGCUUCAGGUAAGAAGUCUUCAUCUUCAUUCUACAAUUACAUAGAUAGCGGUCGGCUAAUAUAAUUUACUGUGUUAAUUGAUGUACAAUGGAAUUUAUAAAUGUACCUCGUCAUAGAGUUCAGCAGCAGAAUGACGCACAAUUGCUUGAGCAUUAGCAUCAAACAACAGAAAAUUAGCCUCACCGCUAUCGUCCUUGACAUUGGCAAUUAAUUUGAACCUGAACAAAUCCAAAGACAAAACGUCACAGACUAUUUCAAUGACGAUCUACCUAACUGAUAUUUUUGUAUAUCUAACCCGAUCAAUACCUGGAAAUAACAUCACUGUGUUCUUUGUCACACGUAUUGCAGAAGAACAAGGGCCGGUCAUCAGCAUCAACAUUGGUUGUAGGCAUCACUUUUUUGUUGUGGUAUUUGCAACUUAGAUAUUGCCAGCCACGUUCAGUAUCAAUUGUUUCAAUGGUCCCCAGAGUAACAAAAGUGCCAACCUAUUAUUACUCAAUGAGUAUUUUUUAAAAGCACUGAUAACACAUGGAGUAUACAAAUGUGUAAAAAAUUCAAAAGCGAAGAGUGUAGUCUAUAUACCACAGAGCUAUCAAUGAUCUCUCCGAUGGUUAGCCUCUCAUUAAGAACAAAAAACCUGGCACGAAUAGAAGUAGCAGUAUCAACAGACCAUUGGCUACUAUUGUUGUUCGUAAGAGCAAGUGAAUCAUCAGGGAGACUGCCAAAUAAAAUAAUCACACUUUAUGUUAAAAUGUUUCAGUGAAAACGAUGUUCAAAAAUCAAAACAAACAUCUAUAUGUAGUGAACUUCUCCAUAGGUUUCCAUCCGGUGAACAUCGGAUACGUACCUUGCUUUGAACUCCUCAAUAAAAUCGAGUGUUGGGUUGAGCAGGAUAUGAGUUGAAUUAUACCCGCUAGAUAUGGAGUAAGCACCUACAAAGUAUAUUAAGCUUAUUAAUAUGUUAUGCUCAGUAACAUUUUACACAAACCGGAAGAAUAUUAUUUACCUUUCCACUCUUUAACAGAACAGAAUCUGAUCACACAAAUAAUCAUGGUGGACAUGUUACUCCUACUGUAAUCGUAUACUUGUUUAGCAUAACUACCCCACAGAGUACACAUCAUCUUCACAUUACUGUAUAAUAUAAACUUAAGUUAAAUACAGUUAAUAGAUGUUUUCUUAGCAAAGUAUAAAUAAGAUUAAAAAUCUUUCACUUUACUUUGGGUCACGCAACUCAACCAAGAGCCUCAUGUUGUCUUUUCCUUUUAUUAUUUUGUUUUCCAGAGACCCGAAGUUAACUAUUUGGCCAACCACAUCUACAUACCAAAAAUAAGACUCAAAUCAGAAACAGGUAGUAGUAAAGUGAAAGACUCUUUAACUGAUUAAGAAACUAACUCACCAACCAAACAGCUAUGGUCCAGAUUUCCACCAAGAAUAUCAGAGAAUAAUUGUGUAUUGUCAUAAAUUGAUUUGCAUAUGAUAUGAUUUUAACUUGCGCAAGUAAUAUAAUAAAUACGAAAACAACUUCCGCAAGUAAUUGAUUAGAAUAAUAAGGAAAGUUAGUAAUAUGCAAAUCUUGCGCAAGUAAUCUAAUUAUAUGGGCUUAAUAUCUAUCUAGUUAUCUAAUUAUAUGGGCUUAAUAUCUCAUAAUUAAGAAAACCAAAAUUGAAAAUCAGAAAACUAAAGGACCGGAUACAUAAAGGAAUGAAACCGACUGAACAAACGGAUUUGCAUAUGCUUUCAGGAGAAGAGAAGGUUUACCUUAUCUCUGACAGUAUUAUCCCAUUAAGAUCUUAAUCGUUCUGCAAUUAGCAAUGCAACAGACCAUUGGAAUUGUUUUGUAAAGCUCUAAAUCGUGCUAAUGAAACAAAAAAACAAACUUUAAAAUCACAAGAUAGUACUGUCCAAAUAUCUGUUGAAUUAUUAAGGAGAAGGUAAUCUUAUAGUCCUUCUUCAAUUACUGAAGUCGAAUGCAAGUUUGUUGUGAUAAUACUACUGUGGUCGUGGCAAUGGUCUUGUUUAAGAGAAGCAAGACCUGAACAGCAAAAAGGUUAAUCAAUCAAUUAGAUACAAAAGAUUCAAAAUGUAAAUAAGCAAAAUGUAAUCAAGGAAGAAACAUAUGUCGAUUGUUAUCAGUGUUAUCCAACAAUCUUUGUAUCAUAGCUUAAAAGUCGAAUCCAAUCAGAGAAGCAAAAAAACCUAAAAUUCCGAGAGACUCGAUAAACUUCACCUCGUCUGGUUGUCGAUGCUGUUAGCGAUGGAUAAGAUUGAGUCUUUAUGUUAUGAAGAACAAAACACAUCUUGUCGGACUGUCUUCAUCAGAUUGAAACCAUCUCCCCCUUCAAUUGACACGCGAUUGGAAAAAAAAAAGAAGAAAAAACUUCAACAUAAACGACUGCGUUUUGAAUUACGCGGAAGGGAGUGAAAAAAUAAAUCAAAAAGAAAAAUUCCAAAAAUACAACCAAAAGAAGUUCUACAUGAGUGCCACCUCAACAGAAAUCACUAAAGUGACUUCUCUUUUAAUGUACAGGGGGAUUAUUUAGUAUAUAAAGGAUUUAUGUGAGGUUAUUCAAUUACCGCAUAUUGCUAAAACUUAGUAUAUGUUUUAUCUCCUCUAGUUCACAAACCUAAUGUGGAAAUGCAUGCAACACUUCUGCUCUUAUAUUAUUUGUUAACUCAAAUCAAAUUUUUAUUUUGCUUCUGCUUAAUCUCUUUGGAUCUUACUCUUUUUCUCUAUUCUACUACAGCUUUUGUUUAUCGUACCUCACUUACCACAUGCAAGAUAAAUAUGAGUCCGAAUGGACAAAAUGGAUAUAUAUCAAAGUAUUCUGUCCGUUAUUAAAAAAAACUCUAUUAUAUUAUGCCUUUGCAUGCUUGAAGAAAUUGUAUCUAAUGGUUAAUAAAUAAUUAUUGACGAUGCAGAUUUUCAAAAAUGUGGAAAGAGCAAAAAAUCUAACACUCCUGAAAAGACUAUCAUCAAAAAUAGAAACUCCGGGAGGUUGUGAUCAAUUGGUAAGGGGAAGAGUUUGGGACGCCAACACGUUUCAAGUUUGAUACACCUGCUAUGAUAAACUAAGUCACUUUCUUUCUGGACACCUAACAUAGAUAUGAACUAUUGCUUUCGGCUCAUUCGAAUACCCGUAGAGAAUAUAUAUCCAUAGGCUGCACCUGGUCUGGGAUACCCUAAGUUAAUCAAAAAAAUGGAAUUACAUGUAAACGCAUUAUAUUUUACAAAUAACUUUUUUAUCAUAAAGAAUAAAGAAGUAUCGUGUUUUUCUGGUUUUUCCUAUUGAUAUAUUUUUGUUCUGACCCAAAUAAAAUAAAAGUCAUGAGGAUAACACCAAUAAUAUCAUUGUUUCUGGUGAAGGACUAAAUGAACAGUAAGUAUAUAUUUAUUGGUUUAUUAUGUAUAAUAAAUAAAUAAAACUAGAAUCACAUUCUUUUUUAAUAUAAAAGAUAUACUAUCUUCACAAAAUAAAAUUUAUAACUGAUAUCUUAUACUCAGUACUCUCAUGAAAUUGGGAUUUUGUGAAAUAUUUGCAUCCUAAACUAGAAGAAUUUUAAAGUAUCACGAGAUAGUAGGAUUUUAAAUCUUUUCGUUGAAUAUUAAAUUUUAAAAUUGUAUUUUUUGAUUUUUUAAUUUUAAAAUAUAUUUUCAUUUUCAAUAUUUCAGUAAUAUUUUCUUGAAUUAAAAUUUUUUUUUGAAUCUAUUUUCAAAUUUUAAAUUUUGAAAUUGUUUUCUUGAUUUUUAUUUUAUUUUCCUGAAUUUUGAAUCCCUUGUAUACGUUAAUAAGGAGAUUACAAAUUUGUAAGACUGCCUUUCCAAAAUUAAUAGUUUUCUAAUGAUGAUUGAUGCCCUAUGAAACAGCUGAAAUUAUAAAACGUCACUAUAAAACUGACUUGAUUAUACAUCAGUAACUUGUGUAAAUAUGGGAUCACAGGUUCUUGGUUGUAAUUUGAUAUAGUGUUGGUCAAGAACAAUUAUAUUAUCAGCAAAAAUGACAUACAUAUGAAAAGUUCUACUGUAACCUUUAUGAGAAUUUUUUUUUAAUGAAUGUUAAUUUUUUAUUCAUAAAAAAAACCUUUUUACAUCAAAAUGUAGACCUGAACGAAAAAACCUUCUCUUUUUACUUCUUCACUUCUAAUGAAAACUCAAGAAAUAUUUACACUCUUAUGUUAAACCAAUAUUGGAGAGCAACAUCCAUCCCCUUUGCUUCUUUCAAUAUCUCAUUAGGCUUAACUUGUUUCCGACCCCUUUGCAAUAAGCUGCUUCACUACAUCCAUGGGCAAAGGUUUUUCGCACUACAAGAAAACGUCUCAUAUAUAGCAUGAGGAAAACACUAUUGCAAGAUAGCGCAGCGUUAUGGCGAACGUUGUAUCUUCCCUCGCAAUCUUUUCCCGGGCACUUCAGAUAACGUUUAGUUUGUGCUAUGUUAAAGUAUUAGUUUGAUGGCGUUUUAUUAAUUGUGCAAUUGUAUUAACUUCUAAUAGCAUAUAAUAAUUGUUAUUAUAGCAUUAUUAAAAAAAUUAUAUAUUCAAAUAAAAUUUUUUAAAAUUUUUAUAUAUCGAAAUUGGUUACAUGAAUAUUUAUGACGGGUAUAUCAAACUAAACCAAUUUUUUUUCAAAAAUAUUAAACUUACACCUAAAAUUCUAUACCUAAAGUUCUAUCUUCUAGCGCCGCACCACACCACGACCGACGCCGUCACAACCAGUACUCCAACGUCGCCAUCUUCCAAUCACACACAGGAGCUUGUACCUUUUCCACUCUAAACCUAAUGUUCCUGAGGCUAACGACCCACCGCUUUUGCUACCUCCUCCUCCAUCAAGCUUAUCUGCCUCUUGUCCAUCUUCAUGUAACAAGAAAAAAAAUCAAAUUCAAAACAGUGAGAGAGAGAGAGAUCAGGCACUCUUUUAGAUUUAAAAACAGGUCUCAAAUAGAAUAUACCUUCAAAGUCCUUUUCCAUGUCUUCCAGCAUCUUAUGUCUCUUAGCACACAGCUGAAACAAGAGUUACAUAAGAACAUGAAGAUACAAAAUAUUUUUAAUCAGCAUUCUUGGCAUUAAGUAGAAGCAUCAACUAGCAUCCAUAUCAACGUAACAAACCACAAAAGGUUAAUACUUACAAGCCCUUUGGGUGUAAAGUUGGACCAACAAGAAGAGCAUUCUCUGUCACACCCUUUUGGGUACUCUUAGAACCUUCAGGACAUGCAGAACUCAUCGAGCAAUUUUUAAUAAAAAUUCAAAUAAGAGAAUAAACUAGUUUUGUUCAUCUUUCAUCAACUUAAGCAAAACAGGUGAUAUUAACACAAUACAUGGGAGUGCAAGAGCAUUUGAGGUUCUUGUCUGCUCAUUGCUACGGUCAGGUUUUGACGUGGUGGCUAACUCACAGAAUCCACACCUCCAAAAGCAACUUUCACCUGCACAAGAAAACAUCUGAGAAUCAAUCCUAAGUUUCUUGGAAGCCUUGCACAAACUAGAAAGCCAACACAAAGAAAUACACUUGAACAACAUUUUGAAGCUCUAACAAUAGUCCCCUCCCACAACUAAAGAUCCGUGGGAUUGUAUAUCACCAAUGACUGAAUCACUGUUCUAAAAAAAUUAAAACUUUGUUUGGUCUAAACCAUAUAUGUGGCUCGUUCCAAGCCUCUUCGUAGGAAGGAGAUUGCAUCCAAGAUGGGUUUGGGAUGUGGAUUUCAUCUGUUCUUUGAAGAGGAAGCACCAGACCUCCAUAAAGAUACAAACUCUAAGGACCUUUUUUUCAGAUCUGUUGUUUAGUGAAAUUGAAGAGAGAGAGAGAGAGAGAGAUAGAGAGAGAGAGAGAGACGAGUGUUGGUUUUGGAUUCGGCUGCAGAGGAGAGAGGAGCGUUCUCAGGAGAAGUACGGAUUCCGGAAGAACAAAGUCACGAGGAGUAGAGACAGGUCGACGGCGACGAACUCAGACGGUGACGAAGGCGACGAACUCAGGCCGGUCUCUGUCUUCUUCCCUUGCAAUCUCUCAUAUCUCUCUGUCGUCGUGUUUAGAAGUCAAAAGGAGAGGACAAAUUAAAACACAAUCUCCACCUUUGGAUUAAAAACAAUUAAGGAUAGAGAUUGCAAUCCUUGUGUAUUACUUUCAACCAAUAAAAAAUUUUCUUUCUUUUAUAUGUAAAUAUUUAAAGAAUAAAAUGAGAGGGAAAAUGAAAUAAAGGUAAGAGGGAAAACCAAUCAUUUUUUCGCCUCAGUAAAGAUAGCGUUUUAAUGUACAAUGAUAUUAUAUAUGCGAUUUUUUGUAACAUCGAGGUAACAAAACGCUAUCUUAAAUUAUGAGUUAUGUCAAAGAUAACAUUCUCGACCAAAACGCUAUCUUCUUAUGCUAUCUUUACCUCCUCCCCUUGUAGUGUCGCCAUGCUUGAUCUGAUUUCUUUCUCUCCAUAUGUUACUAAUAAAGGAUUUUUUCUAUAUGUUACAUUUACGUACUGACUAUUGAGUAUGACUUAUAGUUAUGUUCUUAGUUCUUACUCUUAAAAAGGUAUGUACCACGGAGUAUGUAUAUAAAUUAUCUAUUAAGUUACUAAUAACAGUUAGAGGGGAUAUAGGUGAAGAAUUUGUUAGUUUAAUAUUUUGAAAAAAAUUAUAACACGCCACCACAUAACUCACUUGAUUCGUUUGUGUAAAAUUAGGCAUCAGCAGUAACUUGUGUAAAUGCAUCAGACUUUUGGUAUCAGCGGUAAUGCUGUACGUUGCAAACGCAUCAGACUUUUUCAGUGUUGAUUAUAAGUUCUUGGAAUUAAUUGACUUUGAUUUAGGCUUGUUGUCCAUUGCAGAUUAUAAUUUACUAGUGUUAUUUUUAGUUUUAUUGUUUAAUAAUUGUUUAUAAAUCAAUGUAAUUUGUUUUUUUUGUCAAACAUUUGUUCUCACAUUCAAAUAUAUGUUUUCACAUUUUUUAUCUUAGUUAUUGUAAUUCAUUAGUGUGUUUAUUUGAUUAACAUAAGCACAAUCUCACUAUUUUAUUAGAUUGACCAUUUUUGCAAUAGGGACGUUAAAAUGAUGAGAAUUAUAUGUAUUUUCUUAAAGUAUUUUACAUUUGAUUUAUACUGCCUUUAUAUAGUUUUUUAUUGUGUUUUAUUUGUAAGGAUAUUAGUGAUAUAUGAGUUUUGAUUUAGAAGUUGUCUUAGUUCAUUAAAAACUCAAAGUGGAUAGAUUUUAAAAUAUUUUUUUGGAUUCAAUAAAUUUAUAGUUGUGCUUUAUAUCACAACUAUUUGUGAUUAUUUGAAAAAAAAUCUACGUGUACAAUUUUUUUUUAAAAAAAAUUUACAACUAUUUUUGCAAUUUAGUUUUAAUUAUGUAUUAUUUUUUGUGAUUUUCAAGAAAUUUAUUAUUGAUUUUUCUUAACUUGGGUUUUAUGACCAUUAAAAGGAGAAAAAUCCAUGAGAUACAUUACUUAAUAAAUGGAUUACUCUACUUUUUUGUUUUUAUGAAAUAUAUUUUAUUUUUUCUUAAAAUUUAUGUAUUUUAAAUUAUAUUAUGUACUUUUGCUAUUUUUAUUGUUUUAUUUUAAUAUAAUUUUAUAUUUUAUCUUCUUGUCUAAAUAUUUGUUUUGAUUAUGUAAUAAUCAUUGAUUGUGCUUCAAUUACUUUGUUUCUUAUUAAUUUCUCAGAGCUACAGCUUUGUUACUAAAAUUGAAAAGUAUAUAUUCAUUGAGUUUGUGUGAGUUGAGUUGAGGUGGUGUACAUGAAUACCUAUGUGUUAAUGUGUUUUUAAAAAUAUAUGUUAUGAUAAAGUGUGUUGUGGACAACUAACCGGUGGGUCGUGUGAUUUAUGUUUUGCGAUAUUUAGUUUUAUUUUGUCAGAAAAAGGUUUAUGUUGGGAAUGAUUUAAAAUUUCAUGUUUAUGGGCCGCCUAUUUCAUAGACUUUAGUCUUCGUAGCACGGUAUAUGCGUUGAUGUACCUGUUUUUGUAUUUUGUUACAGACGUUGUGUGAGUGUUGCUUGACGAUCCUCUCAUAGCUUGAGCUUUGAGUACACCAGACGGUUUCGUGUUACGAUCACGGAUCACAAAUGGUGGAGGUUUCUUCUUAGCCAUUUAGAAAAGAAUUAAGUUGUUCCAAGCCAGAAACUGGGCUGAUCCUACGCUUUGUGAAAACCUUUUGACUUGAGGGAAUUCAUCUGUUUGUUGUGUGAGGAUUAGGUUUCUUGGCUUUACUGUCACCGAUGGAUUUAAUUUUAUUAAUAAUUAGUAACGUUUUAGGUAAUUAUUUAUUGGUGGGGCUAUGAGUCAAUAUGUCGGCUGCUCUGCCUCAAGACUUUAAAUUUUCAUAGACUUGCAUAAGAAACAAACCCAAUAAGCUGCGUUUACAUUUAGUUACCACAUAUAAAUGAGAUUCAAACAACGUUACGUAUUAUCGAAGUUUAUCGCUGCAUAUUAAAAAUAGUUCCUGAAGGAGGUUCAUAGGUUAUUUUGCUGGGAAGAUGCAUAAUCAUGAAAUUAAAGCAACAUAACCCAAAUAUGUGAAGUAUUCUAACUUAUUGUCUUUGAGAAAUAUAUUUAAAACCUAUUGCAACACAGACGUAAUCAUGUCCUUUAAAUUAACCUCAGGGUUGUUAUCCUCACCCUGUCAAUGUGUAUCAGUUAUCAGUAAACAUUAACGAAGUCAAGUUGUAAAAAAAUUAAACGUCACUCACCUGAAGCUCAAAAAUGAGGCUGUGGUCGUUGGUUGGUGUAAAAAAUGUGGGAAACAGUGAAGGUCUGAUGUUUUGCAGAGAAGUUGAUUCAGAUAGCUUCAAUUGAAAGGUUAAAGUGGUCCCAUAAUUCUCAUCUAUGCAUUAUGGCAGGACCCAAUCGAUGCUGAAUCAAUAUUGCAUGAGAAGAAAACGCUUUAAUCAGAGAAGUUUAUGCUCAAAACCCAAGGAUUGACAGACAAACAUAAUCUUAGCUAAAUACCUUGGAAUCAAGCAGCAGCAUAUCGGCCUGCUGUUAAGUCGCCAUGUCGAUAAGAUCGUGUGAGAGUAAUAGUGAAGCGGAAGAGGAAUCGGGAGGAAUUAGAGGAUUCGAAGAGAAGACUACGAAGGGUUUAUAUAUACUCUGCAAAAGGAUGUAAACAACGUAUUAAAUAUACAAUUAAUAGGAGAUAGUGGGGGGGGAUAGGGGUUUGAUGAUUGAAAGCAAUAACGGCUGAGGGUUAAGUCGGAGAGGUAACGAAAAGGAAAGCAUUAGGUUACAGGCUCGUGAAUAAGAUUAAGACGCAGGUGUGAGAGUGCUGACGUGGCGCAAAAUGCCCCUCUUUCCAUGAUGAUGUGGCGCAAGGAAAGAUAUAUGUUUUAUAUAUAUAGAUAGAUAGAUAGAUUGGUUGUAGUGGUUUCUAGCAUGAUUAACCCAAAAACCCACUUUGGGUCUCUUAAUGAUUUUUAAAUAUUAAAGUUUACUUAAGAGACCUAGUUAAGAUACACCUACAUUUUUGUGUUUCAACGGGAGUUUCUUAGAGCAUCAUUAACCCAAAGACCCCUUUAGGGUCUCUUAUUUACUUUUUAAGAGCAUGAUUAUUGGGAAGUUUUUAAGGUGGGGUUUUUAUCGGAAUAUAAGAACCCGUCUCUUAACUUUUAACUAAAAAAGUUAAGAAUCGGCUCUUAAAUAAGAGUUUUAAGAAUCGGUUCUUAACUUUUUUAGUUAAAAGUUAAGAGACGGAUUCUUAUAUUUCGCUAAGAACCCCACUCUAAGAACCCCCAAUAAUCAUGCUCUAAGUAGUAAAUGUGAGUUGAGAGAUUUAGUUAAGAAAUUUUAAUACUUAUAUGCUUCAAUGCUAGUUUCUUAACUAAGGGUUCUUGAAAAAAAAAUUCCAACGUUCUCAUCUUUACAUCUUCUUUGAUCUCCAACCAUGGAUUCAAAAAAUCCAACAUAUUAUCCAAACUUUCAGUAUCUUCACCCAUCUCCUUCAUCGCGUAUACAAUACUCUCUAUUGUCGACAAACACCUCUUUGUUGGCACCAAGUGCUUGAUUUCAGCUUCGAUCUUUCCCUGGAAAAUGCCUUCAAAUUCAGAUUCAAUCUUUGAGUAUUCUAGUUCUUGGAUCCUGGCUUCCUUUGCAUUGAGAUCAGCUCUGGCUUCCUCGAGUUUGUGUUGGAGAUGUUUCACCUUCUGCUUCAAGAUCAGUACCAUAUUCACAGAUCCAGCAGAUCCUUCACUACUCUGCCUCCACCAUAUUCACAACCUCAUGAUGAUCACGGACUUAAGAAUACAAGGAACAGCUAAUCAGAGCUUGUCAUAAUACUAAUCAAAAGCCAUGUAUGUCAUGACAUUCCUAGAAGAACCACUGUCUGAUACUAAUGUGAAUAAUACAAUCUACCAAACUUCAAUUGUAUACAAAAAGAAAAAGACUUGUCUUUUUUAGCAAUUCUAGAAGAGUCUAUGGUCGACAAUUAAAGCUUGGAAACAAAACUAAACCAUAAUUACCAUACCACGAUAAAAAUGUAUAGCCGUAAAAAAAGAAGAAGCAAAAAAGCUCCAUUCCCGUAUUAGAAGCAGCACCUCGUGGCCGGUCCAAAGCAGGUAAAGAAGCCUCCAUUGCCUCCUCAACAGCAUAAUCUCAGAUCCAUCCUCGAAUGGCUAGGGUUUCGACUUUCAACUCAAUAGAAAUAGAAAAACAAUCUCCAAAACCUUAAUCUCCUCUCCUCCUCCGAGAAAUUGAAGAAUUAUUUAUAUGCAACAGUGCAGCCGCCCAAUUAGCCGUCGCUGAAUCCUUCCGUGGCUCCGCCGCGAGAUGUAGAGCAGGGAAGAUUUUAGGUGUAGAUAGAGGAAAGGAGAAGAAGGGACAUUGCUUUACAGCUACUUCGUCGUUGCUACUUCUGCCGUGAACGACGGGAUGGCGAGGUUCACGGCGACGAUGAUUUGGCAGGAGAUAGGUGAACGAGAGGAAAAAAAAACGCUACAAAAUCUCCUGCCACGUGUUAUAUAAGAAACGGUUCUUCUGGACCUUAUUUAAGAAAGGUCCCUUAACUUAAUUGCUAUUUUUCUUUUUUUUCUAAUUCUAAUUAUACCAAGAUACCUCUUAAAAACCUUGGAUAAUUGUGCUCUUAUUUAGAGGUUCUUAUAAAAAAGAUGAAAAUCUUUUUAUUUAUUAACCUUUUGAUUCUCCAAUUCUAAACUUGAAUUAAAAGAUUUAGCAUCAGAAUGAAUGAAGAAGCUUAAAACGAAUCAAAAGAUGAAAAUCUUUUUAUUUAUUUCAAGAAUAUACCUCUACUAAUGAUAUCAUAGACACCAAAGGGAAGAAAAGACCACUAACCUCAUGCCUUUGUUACUGGAGAUGUAGCCAGAGCUUUGUCUUCACUAGAGGAUGGAACGGUUUCGUCAAGGAGAAGAGCCUCAAGGAGAAAGAUGCGAUGAUAGUCUUUACACUUGUGAUGUUCCGACGUUAGAAGGUCAAAGCAAAAACUUCUUGAUGAUCGAUGUUUAUUACUCUUCAGGCCAUGAUGAGGAAGUAAACGAGACAGUUCAUUACAGUUCCGAGGGAGGAGUAAAAACAGAGAACUUCUGUAACUCGAAGUUGGAAGAAGAACCACUAUGAUUAGUUUUGUACUUACCAGCGGUAUAAGGAUACAAAGACAUUGUUUCUUCCUAAAGACAAUGCCAGCAAUGUAUAUCCGAAAUUAUGCCAAUCUACAAGAAACGCUGCACGCCUCCAUGAACUCGCCCACUUAACAGCAAUUAGUGUUGGACUGGAAGGUGGAUUCUGCAGAAAAAGAACUCUGUAAACCUUCUGAAAAUUUCGCAAAAAGACUAAAACUUUCAAAGAUUGUACCUGAACCAAGAAAAUGUCAGGUGCUGGUACUUUGGCAAGAGGUUAAUGAACCGAAGCUGCGCCUGUUUUACAUCCCAAAAAAGAAAGAAAGAAAGAAACAGAUGAUCAUGAUACUAAAUACUUUCAAGAAGUUUAUGUCAAGGAGUUGAUGGAAGGAAGGAUACCAUGGUAUGGACGUGCAUUUAAGGAUUCUUUAAAACAGCUUCAUGAGGAAUAGAACCUAUUCAUGAGUUCCAAAAAAAUAAAAGCGUUUCAAACAAUGCAAUGCAAUCAUGGAGUCCAAAAAAACAUGAAAGAUUACACACUAAAAUGGGGAAUCCUUUUACCUCCAUAAGCAACAAUGUCAACUUGAAGUGAUGCCGAAAUAUGAAACUAUCCUUUUAGUUAUGAUGAUUGCUUUAAAAUAGAAAAGGUUUUUUAAAUGAUACAUGUAAUUUAAUUGCGGUAUGAAUUUAUUAGUUUAGAUUUGGUGGACAGAAAAUAUCUUUUUAUAAUCAAUUUUAGCAUUUUCAAUAAAUUUUGGAUAUAAAACAAAAAAAAAGUUAUUGUCAAAAAUGGUUGUAAAUACUAUGAAGAAAAACCGAGAAACAAACAACUGUAAUAAAAAUAGAAACCAAAACAUGUAAUCAGUUUAGUUAUAUCUAUUCAAACUAAACUUAGAUACUGUAUAAUUGCAUGCUUGAAUAAUAAUGAUAUAUAAUUAUAUAAUGGACGUUUUACGAAGUUGGUAUAAAAGUAGUCAACAGAAUUUUCUAAAGGUUGAAUUUGAUUCUGUUGACAUCUAAACAUCACAUCACUAAACCUAGAAAAAUUGGUUUUGAAACACGAACACAGUUGGUAUAUAAAAGUAUUUAAUUGAAUUUUGAAUAGAUAUGAUUUGACUUUUUAGACGAUACUAAACCGAGAGGUGAAUAGUUAUGAGUCAUCUAUAUUCGAUUUACAUUAUUAUUUCGGUGGUUAACUAAUUUUGUAAAGUGACGGUAUUAAAAGGCAAUAGCAUUGAACCGUUUAUUAAUGGUAAUAUAUUUCAAAUGGCCGUGUUUUAUGCAGUUGCAUAAGAUGAUAAUAUUUUAAGAAAAAUCAGGACUAAAUACUAUUUGUACUUCUGUUUUAAUAGAUUAGAUAAAUUAUUAUUAAUAAUGUUUAUGGUUGUAGAUAGAAAAUAAAGCUAAAACACUUGUCAUAACCCAACCAAUCACCUUAAUAUGCAUAUGUAUGAUUUGGAUAAGAAAUUAAAAUAUAGUUGUUUUGUAUAUUAUUUUUUUAUUUUCGUUAUAUAGGUACUUGGUUUUAAUUAUUUCUCCUUUCGUAUUAGUUUUUGCAUUUCUAAAUUUUAUAAUUUUUUAAAUUUAAUUUUUAAAUUAUAAAAGUUAGUAUAAGAUGCAUGUACAAAAUAUUAUAUACCCAUAAAUGUUUAUAUAAUUUUUUUUAUGUUCUCAUUCAAACAACGACUGGAUCCGCCAAUAUAUACCUCGCAUAAUUUGUAUAUGAAUUAAUUCUCAGUGGACUUAGACCAUCAUUAGUCAGGUUUCUGAAUUAUGAGUUUCUGAACAUUAUUUUAUUAAUAUUUUAAAAAAAAUUAUUUUAAAACUAGUUCUUCCACUUAUGGAAGCAGUUAGUUUCUCAAGUUUUCAUUGAAAGUACCUUAAGCAGCAAUCGAUUCUUGCUUUUUCAAUCCUCUCUUUCUAACUUUUCUUUGAUUUAUUAUUAUAUUAGUAAUAGAGACUAUGGUAGAUACUACCAUUGCUCAUGCUCUUAGGUUCUCUUCGUAUUUCACAUACGAUGUUAACGAUGAGGUAUACAGCUCACAUAUAAAGUGUAUUUCCAGAUAUUAAAUAAAUCGUAAGCAAUAAACUCAUAAUUCGUGUGGUCGUACUAUCGAAUGUAAUGAGAUACUUUCAAGGGCAAAUCUCUAAAAUAGCACAUUUCUAAGUUUAUAUCACAUCUAAACCCUAAACCCUAAACUCUAAACCCUAAACCCUAAACCUAAAUCCUAAACCCCACCCUUUAACUCUAAACCCUAAGUUUGUGACUUUUGAUAAAACAUUAAGUGCUAUUUUUGUGACUUUUGACCUUGAGUGCUAGUUUGGGAACAUAAACUUGAUUUAGUGCUAUUUUUGUCUUUUUCUCUACUUUCAAGCCUAAGUUACUUGGGACAUUUUUGGUAGAGAGCUCUUCUCAUAAUUUUUAACAAAAAUAUUAUUGAAAAAGCUAAAAAUAAAAGAGAAGAGAUAAAAUUAUAGAGAAUAGUCCCUUUAUAAAGAGACUUCCAAAAAUAUUUGAGAAAGUAAUUCUACAGCUGUCCUUAUUUUAGUGGUACAGCAGAAUUUUAGACAUUUAAUUUUAAUAAAAAAAGCAAAUCAUCUUAGUAUACUAACAUAAUAUUAUCUAGAAAUUAAAUUUGAAAAACUAACCAGUGCUGAUGCUCUUACCAACCCAAAACUCGCUUGUCACUAGAUCACAAUCGCGUGGUUAGACUCUUAUUAUUCUAUAAUAUAUACACAAAAUCUAUGUAUUUUUAUGCCAUGUACGUAAAAACAAAUUGUGUAAAAGAUCAUGAAAUUGUAAGAUAUUUCAAUAUAUAUGUGUGUCUAAAAUAAUUCUGUCAAAAUUCAAAGAACAAACUAAGUUUAUGAAAUGAAUAGAAAACAAUAUUAUGCGCUGUUAAAAAAAAACAUACUGAAGUCAGUGGAACUAGCUCCGAUUUAUCACUGACGAGAUUAGCUCGAAAAUUUUAAACCACGAGAACCACGUGCACGAAAGUAAUAAUGAUUUCGAUAGCUAGUAGUCGCCAAAAGUAUAUAAUACUGUUUUCCUUCGUCCAGUUAGAUGCCUUGCAAUUAUUUGUUAAUACAUUUCGGCUGAGGGAUUUCAUCAAUGUGCUCGAUCUUAUCCGAAACAUCUAUGUUUAUAUAUUGUGUGUACAUAAAAAGUAGAACCAAUUCUUUUGCCUAGUGUCUAAAUAAAUAAAAACAUUGUACGUGACAGUAAUUUUCGAGUUUAAAUACUAUAUUUUUUAAGAGAAGAUUCUAGUAUGGCUAAAAUUAUGAAAACGAUUGUAUGCUUUCCAUUGCGAAUCCGAAUUUCGCUUAGACAAGAGAAUCUCCUCGUUAGAAAACCAUUUAAGUGUGGCCUCUCUGGUCUCUGAUGGCAUAAAUACAGUACAGAUCUGUUCCACAGUGUAACGCGAUUAUAUAUUUGAUAUCUCUUGGUUAAACAAAUAUCCCGGAUCUGCUAAGAAUCGAAUUUCAUUAUUUGACAAAACCAACAGAUCCAGUUAAAAAAAAAGACAAAACCAACAGAUCAUUCAUUUAUGCCAUUACGUGCUUGAUUAACAAAUGGUUAGGAUAUUUUUAUUAGAUUAAAAAAGCUAAUUAAGAGAUUCUAAACGAAGAUUUGUACUAUUAAUACAGGUUGGCCAAUUGAUUUGAUUGUUUUUAAGUUACACGUUGUUGAAAAUAUAUGCAAUGUAUGUAAACACGUUCAAUCCAAAAAAAAAAAAAACUUCUUUUGGCGUCAUAUAUUAGAGACUAACUUGAGAGACCACGAAAUUUAAUAUAAUAAAUAUUCAUCGUUGUUUCAUUAGUUAUAAGGAAGAAACUCCGGAAGUAAAUAAAAUAAACGUUUAGUUUUGAAAAAAAAAUAAAAAUAGCAUUAAAUCAAGUUUAUGUUCCCAAACUAGUACUCAAGGUCAAAAAUCACAAAAAUAGCACUUAAUGUUUUAUCAAAAGCCACAAACUUAGGGUUUAGAGUUAAAGAGUGGGGUUUAGGAUUUAGGGUUUAGGGUUUAGGGUUUAGAGUUUAGGGUUUAAGGUUUAGAGUUUAGGGUUUAGGGUUUGGAGUUUAGGGUUUAGGGUUUAGGGUUUAGAGUUGAGAAAUGA
This 22704-nucleotide long non-coding RNA is filed under the name Brassica napus (rape). RNAcentral describes it as "long non-coding RNA (BNAP_LNC022065)". The stretch from base 16603 to 16727 matches the Rfam family "MIR9563 microRNA precursor family". Lineage: Eukaryota; Viridiplantae; Streptophyta; Magnoliopsida; Brassicales; Brassicaceae. The record is from RNAcentral.